AGAGUUUGAUCCUGGCUCAGAACGAACGCUGGCGGCAGGCCUAACACAUGCAAGUCGAGCGCACCUUCGGGUGAGCGGCGGACGGGUUAGUAACGCGUGGGAACAUACCCUUCUCUACGGAAUAGCCAUUGGAAACGAUGAGUAAUACCGUAUACGCCCUUCGGGGGAAAGAUUUAUCGGAGAUGGAUUGGCCCGCGUUAGAUUAGAUAGUUGGUGGGGUAAUGGCCUACCAAGUCUACGAUCUAUAGCUGGUCUUAGAGGAUGACCAGCAACACUGGGACUGAGACACGGCCCAGACUCCUACGGGAGGCAGCAGUGGGGAAUCUUAGACAAUGGGCGCAAGCCUGAUCUAGCCAUGCCGCGUGAGUGAUGAAGGCCUUAGGGUCGUAAAGCUCUUUCGCCAGGGAUGAUAAUGACAGUACCUGGUAAAGAAACCCCGGCUAACUCCGUGCCAGCAGCCGCGGUAAUACGGAGGGGGUUAGCGUUGUUCGGAAUUACUGGGCGUAAAAGCGCACGUAGGCGGAUUAGAAAGUAUGGGGUGAAAUCCCAGGGCUCAACCCUGGAACUGCCUCAUAAACUCCUAGUCUAGAGUUCGAGAGAGGUGAGUGGAAUUCCGAGUGUAGAGGUGAAAUUCGUAGAUAUUCGGAGGAACACCAGUGGCGAAGGCGGCUCACUGGCUCGAUACUGACGCUGAGGUGCGAAAGUGUGGGGAGCAAACAGGAUUAGAUACCCUGGUAGUCCACACCGUAAACGAUGAAUGCCAGUCGUCGGAUAGCAUGCUAUUCGGUGACACACCUAACGGAUUAAGCAUUCCGCCUGGGGAGUACGGUCGCAAGAUUAAAACUCAAAGGAAUUGACGGGGGCCCGCACAAGCGGUGGAGCAUGCGGUUUAAUUCGAAGCAACGCGCAGAACCUUACCAACCCUUGACAUCCUGUGACAACUCGAGAGAUCGAGCGUCCCUUAGGGACACAGUGACAGGUGCUGCAUGGCUGUCGUCAGCUCGUGUCGUGAGAUGUUCGGUUAAGUCCGGCAACGAGCGCAACCCACAUCUUUAGUUGCCAGCAGUUCGGCUGGGCACUCUAAAGAAACUGCCCGUGAUAAGCGGGAGGAAGGUGUGGAUGACGUCAAGUCCUCAUGGCCCUUACGGGUUGGGCUACACACGUGCUACAAUGGCAAGUACAGUGGGUUAAUCCCCAAAACUUGUCUCAGUUCGGAUUGGGGUCUGCAACUCGACCCCAUGAAGUCGGAAUCGCUAGUAAUCGCGGAACAGCAUGCCGCGGUGAAUACGUUCCCGGGCCUUGUACACACCGCCCGUCACACCAUGGGAGUUGGUUCUACCCGACGGCCGUGCGCUAACCUCUUCGGAGGGGGCAGCGGACCACGGUAGGAUCAGCGACU
Molecule: ribosomal RNA, 1399 nt
Filed under: metagenome
Description: bacterial SSU rRNA
Rfam family: Bacterial small subunit ribosomal RNA
Source: RNAcentral